RNAcentral lists this transfer RNA (66 nucleotides) under Exilisciurus exilis (least pygmy squirrel). RNAcentral's name for it is "tRNA-Thr". The record is from RNAcentral. Lineage: Eukaryota; Metazoa; Chordata; Mammalia; Rodentia; Sciuridae.
GUCUAAGUAGUAUAACUAAUACCUUGGUCUUGUAAACCAAAAAUGAAGAACAAUCUUCCUAAGACA